This 952-nucleotide unclassified non-coding RNA is filed under the name Hevea brasiliensis (rubber tree). The record is from RNAcentral. Lineage: Eukaryota; Viridiplantae; Streptophyta; Magnoliopsida; Malpighiales; Euphorbiaceae.
GGGUACUGAUAAUCCAUUAGCUUCUAAGUUCUUACGAAGACACAGAGACAUGGCUACUUCUUUUGCUAAAUUCCUUAUCAUUCUUGUUGCCAUUAGUUUCCACGUAAAAACUCUCUCAGCUGCUAGAGUUAUCAGUACCCCAAAAACCAACAUAGAAUUUAUAAGAACAUCCUGUAGUACAACUACUUAUCCAAAACUUUGCUAUAGUUCGCUCUCCGUUGAAGCAAGCAAAAUCCAAAACAGCCCCAAACUCCUAGCCAAUGCAGCCCUUAACGUGACACUAGCAUCUGCUAGAUCAACUUCCAUCAUGAUGCAAAAACUCUCUCAAAGCCAUGGCAUGAAGCCUAUGGAAGUAUCAGCCAUGCAAGACUGCGUGGAGGAGUUGAGUGACACGGUAGAUGAGCUGAGAAAAUCCAUUGAUGAAAUGGGUAAGACUAAAGGGUCCAAUACUCAGCUCAUGAUUAACGACAUACAAACAUGGGUUAGUGCUGCCUUGACGGAUGAGAGUACUUGCAGUGAAGGGUUCGCUGGGAAUUCCAUGAAUGGGAAUGUGAAGAGUGCAGUAAGGGGACUUAUUCUGAAUAUUGCACACUUGACCAGCAAUGCCUUGGCCUUGAUCAACAAUUAUGCCUCUGUUCAUGGUUAGAUCAUCUCUGGGAUGAUGAGGUUAAUUAAUUAUUUAUACAAUUACUUAAAGUGAUGAGGCUAAGAUAUGCCCAAAUUUGUAUGUAGCAUAUAUAUACUGUGAUACUCGUGCGUCGUGACAUGUAUGGUCAUAUGUCUCCAAAAGAAUGUUAUGGUAGAUUAAUUGUGUAUAAAUAUAAUUCAAGUCGUAUCAUAUAUAUUAGUGAAGAAAGGGUUUAGUAAUAAAACUUUAUAUGAAAAUUGGCCCUUUUCUAUUGUUCAACCCGUGAGUUUUAUUGUCAGACAAAAAAAAAACCGUGAAUUUUAU